RNAcentral lists this transfer RNA (73 nucleotides) under Trichonephila inaurata madagascariensis. It matches the Rfam family "tRNA". From Rfam's summary of the family: Transfer RNA (tRNA) molecules are approximately 80 nucleotides in length. Their secondary structure includes four short double-helical elements and three loops (D, anti-codon, and T loops). The record is from Rfam by way of RNAcentral. Lineage: Eukaryota; Metazoa; Arthropoda; Arachnida; Araneae; Nephilidae.
GUCCCUGAAGCGCAAAAGUUAGCGCGUUGGACUUCUUAUCCAAAGGUCGUGGGUUCGAAUCCCACGGGGGAUG